AUGACAUGUGAAGCUAGAAGAUGGAGGAUAGUGUAUAUACUGCACCAUCCACAGGCCUUCUCCGACGCGGACGCCCAAAUCUCCCCCAUAUGUUUUAUGUUUGGACCAGAUGUCUGUAAAUUUUUGGGCCUUCAUCGCAGCUGCCCAUUUUGGGCCCGACCGGUCCAAAACGUCCACAAUGUCCUAAGUUCGACCCCAACCACGUCGGCCUAUGAUGGUCCGGACCCACCCAAAACCCUGACGCUGGUGUAUUUUCACAAUUUGCCGCAUCAAUCCCCCUGGACAUUGCCCAGGCCUUUGCCGGACAUUCGUCGCUCCACCUAG
RNAcentral lists this ribosomal RNA (324 nucleotides) under Triticum aestivum (bread wheat). RNAcentral's name for it is "partial small subunit ribosomal RNA". Lineage: Eukaryota; Viridiplantae; Streptophyta; Magnoliopsida; Poales; Poaceae. The record is from RNAcentral.